AUACUUACCUGGCAGGGGAGAUACCAUUAUCAUGAAGGUGGUUUUCCCAGGGCGAGGCUUAUCCAUUGCACUCGGGAUGUGCUGACCCCUGCAAUUUCCCCGAAUGUGGGAAACUCGACUGCAUAAUUUGUGGUAGUGGGGGACUGUGUAUGCACUCUCCCCUG
Molecule: small nuclear RNA, 164 nt
Filed under: Castor canadensis (American beaver)
Lineage: Eukaryota; Metazoa; Chordata; Mammalia; Rodentia; Castoridae
Description: U1 spliceosomal RNA (ENSCCNG00000003181.1)
Rfam family: U1 spliceosomal RNA
About the family: U1 is a small nuclear RNA (snRNA) component of the spliceosome (involved in pre-mRNA splicing). Its 5' end forms complementary base pairs with the 5' splice junction, thus defining the 5' donor site of an intron. There are significant differences in sequence and secondary structure between metazoan and yeast U1 snRNAs, the latter being much longer (568 nucleotides as compared to 164 nucleotides in human).
Source: Rfam by way of RNAcentral